GGGGGCGCACAGGUUUCGACGUGCGGCGUAAGGCCUCGAGGAGCAUGCGGAGGGCGCCCUCUCCCGCCUUAAAAAAGAGGGCAAGGUCAUAGAUGCCAAAAAAUCUAACGUGAUCGCUUUCCGUCCGGCCGCAAUGCCGGCAAUGGCGAUGGCUGCCUAACUCAAUAACCUCCGUUGGUUCGGAGGCUGAGCUUCAGCCCCAUCCUUCCGUUCCGCCAGUUUCCUUGCGUGCGGUCUGGGUGGCUAAACCCUUCUUGGAAACUCGGUAGCGGCCCGGUUGCGGCCAACACUUAAAUCUUUUAGCAACCGACCUUUUGAGCUGGCGGGUUUCUGGGCUGGCGCUUAAGGUAUUUUCCAGAAAAUAAGCAUGUAGAGCCUCAGCUGAACAAAGUGCGGACGCGGGUUCGAUUCCCGCCGCCUCCACCA
Molecule: transfer-messenger RNA, 426 nt
Filed under: Alphaproteobacteria (a-proteobacteria)
Lineage: Bacteria; Pseudomonadati; Pseudomonadota
Also listed under: 1 other name
Description: UM-FILTER-53-9 sp002791805 Standard tmRNA
Rfam family: transfer-messenger RNA
About the family: Bacterial tmRNA, also known as 10Sa RNA or SsrA, is named for its dual tRNA and mRNA-like properties. Its role is to liberate the mRNA from a stalled ribosome.
Source: RNAcentral